CGCACUAGUUCAGAGUUUGAUCCUGGCUCAGGAUGAACGCUAGCUACAGGCUUAACACAUGCAAGUCGAGGGGAAACGGCAUUGAGUGCUUGCACUCUUUGGACGUCGACCGGCGCACGGGUGAGUAACGCGUAUCCAACCUUCCCAUUACUGUGGGAUAACCUGCCGAAAGGCAGACUAAUACCGCAUAGUCUUCGAUGACGGCAUCAGAUUUGAAGUAAAGAUUUAUCGGUAAUGGAUGGGGAUGCGUCUGAUUAGCUUGUUGGCGGGGUAACGGCCCACCAAGGCAACGAUCAGUAGGGGUUCUGAGAGGAAGGUCCCCCACAUUGGAACUGAGACACGGUCCAA
RNAcentral lists this ribosomal RNA (348 nucleotides) under uncultured bacterium. Its description in RNAcentral is "bacterial SSU rRNA". It matches the Rfam family "Bacterial small subunit ribosomal RNA", at positions 1 to 334 of the family's 1533-position model. The record is from RNAcentral.